Molecule: transfer RNA, 84 nt
Filed under: Richelia sp. RM2_1_2
Lineage: Bacteria; Bacillati; Cyanobacteriota; Cyanophyceae; Nostocales; Nostocaceae
Description: tRNA-Lys
Rfam family: tRNA
About the family: Transfer RNA (tRNA) molecules are approximately 80 nucleotides in length.
Source: RNAcentral
GGACCGGUGACCCGAGUGGCGAAGGGCUCGGACUUUUAAUCCGAUAUACAAACACCGUGGGUUCAAUUCCCACCCGGUCCUCCA